This 301-nucleotide ribosomal RNA is filed under the name uncultured bacterium. RNAcentral describes it as "partial 16S ribosomal RNA". It matches the Rfam family "Bacterial small subunit ribosomal RNA", at positions 509 to 808 of the family's 1533-position model. The record is from RNAcentral.
CAGCCGCCGCGGGAAUACGUAGGGUGCGAGCGUUAAUCGGAAUUACUGGGCGUAAAGCGUGCGCAGGCGGUUUUGUAAGACAGGCGUGAAAUCCCCGGGCUCAACCUGGGAAUGGCGCAUGUGACUGCAAAGCUAGAGUGCGGCAGAGGGGGAUGGAAUUCCGCGUGUAGCAGUGAAAUGCGUAGAUAUGCGGAGGAACACCGAUAGCGAAGGCAAUCCCCUGGGCCUGCACUGACGCUCAUGCACGAAAGCGUGGGGAGCAAACAGGAUUAGAUACCGCGUAGUCCCUGUCUCUUAUACA